ACGCUCGACACCUACGGGAGGCAGCAGUGGGGAAUAUUGGGCAAUGGGCGCAAGCCUGACCCAGCAACGCCGCGUGAAGGAAGAAGGCUUUCGGGUUGUAAACUUCUUUUGUCAGGGAACAGUAGAAGAGGGUACCUGACGAAUAAGCCACGGCUAACUACGUGCCUGCAGCCGCGGUAAUCUGAGCGGGCUGGCAAGGC
RNAcentral lists this ribosomal RNA (200 nucleotides) under uncultured bacterium. RNAcentral's name for it is "partial 16S ribosomal RNA". It matches the Rfam family "Bacterial small subunit ribosomal RNA", at positions 328 to 539 of the family's 1533-position model. The record is from RNAcentral.